AGCCUGCUAUUAUUCUUAAGAGGCAAGGGAACAUUUUCAAAUGAUAUAAUGGACAUGAUCAAGCAUACAAGUUUAUUCCCCAAAACUUGGCAGGUAGGUUGGUCCUGUAGUUCCUGUCCAACUCUUUCAGCAGGUCCAUAUCCUCUUUGCUUAACUCGAAGUCGAAAACUUCAAAAUUUUCCUUCAGUCUCUCGACCUUUGAUGACUUGGGGAUGACAACAGUGUUUCGUUGGAUGCCCCACCGGAGAGCAAUCUGGGCCACGGUUUUCUUGUAUUUUUCAGCCAGGCCCUGACCGAUAAAAGCAAAUGAGAUGAUAAGACUGAUGAUAAAAAGCACCAACAGAGAACAGUUUUCUCUCAGGUAUUGAUAAUCAGCUGACAGAUAAUCCACCUGAAACAGAAAUGAC
This 407-nucleotide long non-coding RNA is filed under the name Populus tremula. RNAcentral describes it as "long non-coding RNA (PTRE_LNC002881)". Lineage: Eukaryota; Viridiplantae; Streptophyta; Magnoliopsida; Malpighiales; Salicaceae. The record is from RNAcentral.